UACGUAGGGUGCAAGCGUUAAUCGGAAUUACUGGGCGUAAAGCGUGCGCAGGCGGUUGUGCAAGACCGAUGUGAAAUCCCCGGGCUUAACCUGGGAACUGCAUUGGUGACUGCACGGCUAGAGUGUGUCAGAGGGGGGUAGAAUUCCACGUGUAGCAGUGAAAUGCGUAGAGAUGUGGAGGAAUACCGAUGGCGAAGGCAGCCCCCUGGGAUAACACUGACGCUCAUGCACGAAAGCGUGGGGAGCAAACAGG
This 253-nucleotide ribosomal RNA is filed under the name uncultured bacterium. RNAcentral's name for it is "partial 16S ribosomal RNA". It matches the Rfam family "Bacterial small subunit ribosomal RNA", at positions 524 to 776 of the family's 1533-position model. RNAcentral also lists the same sequence under 1 other name. The record is from RNAcentral.